GUAGGUGAACCUGCGGAAGGAUCAUUAACACUCCAAAACUUCUCAUAGCUCUGGGAAACCAGAGUUUAUGAAACCCUAUUCACAUUAGCGAACCCGGCUGGAUCGUUUUAGAGUCGCAAGGCUUGCUCGAUCUUAGCUAUUUUCUUUUGUCCAUUUCAUUUUUUUAACCCCAAUCAUUAUAACUUUUUUUUGACUGACUGGAAGACCUCAAAAAUCUUCCGUUGCUCUUCGCUCUAACCAGUGAAGGCAA
RNAcentral lists this unclassified non-coding RNA (250 nucleotides) under plant metagenome. RNAcentral describes it as "partial contains small subunit ribosomal RNA, internal transcribed spacer 1, and 5.8S ribosomal RNA". The record is from RNAcentral.